Molecule: long non-coding RNA, 939 nt
Filed under: Vigna radiata
Lineage: Eukaryota; Viridiplantae; Streptophyta; Magnoliopsida; Fabales; Fabaceae
Description: long non-coding RNA (VRAD_LNC008249)
Source: RNAcentral
GGUGACUAAAUAAUAGGACUUGUUUUUACUUUUGUUUUAUUUUCAUUUUCAUUUUUAUUUUUAUUUUAUUAUUUGAUUUAGUUUUAUUUUAUUAUUGGAUUUAAUUUUAUAUUUCUAGAUUUUAUUAGAUUUUUUAAUUUUUACUCUAAUAUUGGAUUUUGAUUUAGUUUUCGUUUGAUUUUAUUAUUUUGAAAAAAAAAAGAAAGAAAAAAAAACACAAAAGGGAAAAAGAAAAAAAAAAUCAAAAAGAAAAAAAAAGGAAAAGAAAAAAAAAGAAAAGAAAAAAAAAGAAAAGAAAAAAGAAGGAAAAAAAGAGAAGAAAAAGUUUGUUGGCAGGGGACAUAACAGAAUUUCAUCCUCCCUCACACAGAGACCACGCCUCAUCACUCACAGAGGGAGGCACACUCACGACGGAUUAUUUUGAUGAACAUCCAUCAACCAACGAUUUUCUCCAUCUACACAGCGUUUCCUGUUACCAUCAUACUAACCUACACGACCACGAGCUCUGGAUUCACCCACCAGCUCUCACACAUCAACAGAUGACCCCUCUUUUUAAAUCAAUUUUCCUCCAUCACCCCCUACUCCAGCAACCAGAGUAUACAACCACGAGUUCCUCCCUCACCUGUCGUUUUCUGAUAACAGAAACCCACACAUUGACUGAGGACACCCUCCGAAUCCAAUUCCCAAACACACAAAAACAGAAACCAUUUUUGGUCCCCUUCACAAUAUAACAAAAAUUGGUCCUCCAUUAGAGAUCGAACACAUACAGAUUUCACCCCACUAGGAUCCCAAGCUACCAUCACACAACUCACACACACCCCACGCCUCAUGCUCCAAUCCAUCAUCCACAACGUCAGUUUUGUCAACGAUUCGGACCGUUUUUUGAUCACCAAACCCAACUCCAUUUUGGUUUUUCGCAUCAUCUUCAACUCAGGCACA